UACGGGGGGGGCAAGCGUUGUUCGGAAUUACUGGGCGUAAAGGGCUCGUAGGUGGCCAACUAAGUCAGACGUGAAAUCCCUCGGCUUAACCGGGGAACUGCGUCUGAUACUGGAUGGCUUGAGUUUGGGAGAGGGAUGCGGAAUUCCAGGUGUAGCGGUGAAAUGCGUAGAUAUCUGGAGGAACACCGGUGGCGAAGGCGGCAUCCUGGACCGGCAUUGACGCUGAGGCGCGAAAGCGUGGGGAGCAAACGGG
RNAcentral lists this ribosomal RNA (253 nucleotides) under uncultured bacterium. RNAcentral describes it as "partial 16S ribosomal RNA". It matches the Rfam family "Bacterial small subunit ribosomal RNA", at positions 524 to 776 of the family's 1533-position model. The record is from RNAcentral.